UACGGGGGGGGUAAGCGUUGUUCGGAAUUACUGGGCGUAAAGGGCUCGUAGGCGGCCACCUAAGUCAGACGUGAAAUCCCUCGGCUUAACCGGGGAACUGCGUCUGAAACUGCCUGGCUUGAGUUCGGGAGAGGGAAGCGGAAUUCCGGGUGUAGCGGUGAAAUGCGUAGAUAUCAGGAGGAACACCGGUGGCGAAGGCGGCUAUCUGGACAGAAACUGACGCUGAGGCGCGAAAGCUAGGGGAGCAAACAGG
Molecule: ribosomal RNA, 253 nt
Filed under: uncultured bacterium
Lineage: Bacteria
Description: partial 16S ribosomal RNA
Rfam family: Bacterial small subunit ribosomal RNA
Source: RNAcentral